GACGAACGCUGGCGGCGUGCUUAACACAUGCAAGUCGAACGGUGAAGCGCCUUCCUUUUUGGUGGGUGUGGAUGAGUGGCGAACGGGUGAGUAACACGUGAGUAACCUGCCCCCUUCUUCUGGAUAACCGCAUGAAAGUGUUGCUACUACGGGAUAUUCUGGGUCUGUCGCAUGAUGGGUGUGGGAAAGAAAUGGUUUCGGUGGGGGAUGGGCCGGCGGCCUAUCAGCUUGUUGGUGGGGUGAUGGCCUACCAAGGCGGAGAUGGCUAGCCGGCCUGGGAGGGUGGACGGACACACUGGGACUGAGACACGGACCAGACUCGGACGGGAGGCAGCAGUGGGGAAUAGUGCACGAUGAGCGCAAGACUGAUCAAGCGAGGGCGAGUGAGGGAUGGAGGCCUUCGGGUUGUGAAUCUCUUUCGCCAGUGACGCAGGCGUGCCUCGUUUGUGCGUCGGUUGACGGUAGCUGGAUAAGAAGCGACGGCUAACUACGUG
RNAcentral lists this ribosomal RNA (494 nucleotides) under uncultured bacterium. Its description in RNAcentral is "partial 16S ribosomal RNA". It matches the Rfam family "Bacterial small subunit ribosomal RNA", at positions 28 to 507 of the family's 1533-position model. The record is from RNAcentral.